Molecule: ribosomal RNA, 289 nt
Filed under: uncultured bacterium
Lineage: Bacteria
Description: partial 16S ribosomal RNA
Source: RNAcentral
AAGGGAACGGCCCACCAGGGCAACGAGGGGGAGGGGCCAAGAGAGGGAGAACCCCCACACGGGAACAGACACACGGACCACACCCCNACGGGAGGAAGCCGAGAGGAACACCGGACAACGGGCGCAAGGCAGACCCAGCCAAGCCGCGAGCAGUAAGACGGACCAAGGGCAAGCAAGCGGCAGAAAGACAGGAAGAAACACACCCGCGGGAGGGCACGAGACGGAACAGAAAGAAGAAGCACCGGCCAACGCCGGGCCAGCAGCCGCGGGAAAACGGAGGAGGCAAGCG